CUUCCAAAGUUUGCAAAUUUUGUAUACUUUUGUAUUGCAAUUUUCGCAUGCAAUACAAAAGUAUACAAAAUUUGCAAAUUUUGCAAGGCUAU
Molecule: microRNA precursor, 92 nt
Filed under: Paramuricea clavata
Lineage: Eukaryota; Metazoa; Cnidaria; Anthozoa; Malacalcyonacea; Plexauridae
Source: RNAcentral